This 497-nucleotide ribosomal RNA is filed under the name uncultured bacterium. RNAcentral describes it as "partial 16S ribosomal RNA". It matches the Rfam family "Bacterial small subunit ribosomal RNA", at positions 28 to 507 of the family's 1533-position model. The record is from RNAcentral.
GAUGAAUGCUGGCGGCGUGCCUAAUACAUGCGAGUCGAGCGAACAGACGAGGAGCUUGCUCCUCUGACGUUAGCGGCGGACGGGUGAGUAACACGUGGAUAACCUACCUAUAAGACUGGGAUAACUUCGGGAAACCGGAGCUAAUACCGGAUAAUAUAUUGAACCGCAUGGUUCAAUAGUGAAAGACGGUUUUGCUGUCACUUAUAGAUGGAUCCGCGCCGCAUUAGCUAGUUGGUAAGGUAACGGCUUACCAAGGCAACGAUGCGUAGCCGACCUGAGAGGGUGAUCGGCCACACUGGAACUGAGACACGGUCCAGACUCCUACGGGAGGCAGCAGUAGGGAAUCUUCCGCAAUGGGCGAAAGCUUGACGGAGCAACGCCGCGUGAGUGAUGAAGGUCUUCGGAUCGUAAAACUCUGUUAUUAGGGAAGAACAAAUGUGUAAGUAACUAUGCACGUCUUGACGGUACCUAAUCAGAAAGCCACGGCUAACUACGUG